RNAcentral lists this ribosomal RNA (301 nucleotides) under uncultured bacterium. Its description in RNAcentral is "partial 16S ribosomal RNA". It matches the Rfam family "Bacterial small subunit ribosomal RNA", at positions 509 to 809 of the family's 1533-position model. The record is from RNAcentral.
CAGCCGCCACGGUAAUACGAAGGGGGCUAGCGUUGUUCGGAUUUACUGGGCGUAAAGCGCACGUAGGCGGAUCGAUCAGUCAGGGGUGAAAUCCUGGAGCUCAACUCCAGAACUGCCUUUGAUACUGUCGAUCUCGAGUCCGGAAGAGGUGAGUGGAACUCCUAGUGUAGAGGUGGAAUUCGUAGAUAUUAGGAAGAACACCAGUGGCGAAGGCGGCUCACUGGUCCGGUACUGACGCUGAGGUGCGAAAGCGUGGGGAGCAAACAGGAUUAGAUACCCGUGUAGUCCCUGUCUCUUAUAA